CGGGGAGGAGUCUGGCCUCUUCAGCUCCUGUGUGGUGGCCUGAUAUUCAGUCUGUGAGCUGGGAGCCUGUUGGCAGGUCCCUCUUUUUAUUUUCGCUGAGAGCUUUCUUUUACUAAAUGCCACCAUCCUUACCUUUCAAGGUGUCUGCGUGCCUAAUUUUUCCUGGUUGUUAGACAAGAACCCGGAUUUUAGUUGAACUCUGGAGCAAAAAUCCUGCAUCAUUUGUAGGUCAACAACAAGAGGCCAGGACCUCCCAAGAAAAGCUUUACUAAUGUGGGUGUCAUUGUGACUGGCUGCUACCUCCCCAUGAGUCUUCUAAAAUAAAACCUGCAAAUUCACAUCUUCCCCAUGCUUCCAGAGAAUGCAUAUUCUUCCUUUGAAAAAAGAAAACCAGCACUGUUCAUAAUAGCCAAGAUUUGGAAGCCACCUAAGUGUCCAUCAACAGAUGAAUGGAGAAACUGUGGUACAUAUACACAACGGAGUGCUAUUCAGCCAUAAAAAAGAAUGAUACUCUGUCAUCUGCAACAACAUGAAUGGAACUGGAGAUCAUUAUGUUGUUAAAUAAGCCAGACACAGAAAGACAAACAUCACAUAUUUUCACUUAUUUUGGGGAUAUAAAAGUCAAAACAAACUCAUGGAGAUAGAGAACAGAUAGACGGUUACCAGAGGCUAGGAGGAGGAGUGGUGGGGGGCAGUUAGUGAUGGUUAAUUGGUACAAAAAAAUGGUUAGAAAUAAUAAAUAAGACCUAGUAUUAGAUAGGACAACAGGAGGACUAUAGUCAAAAAUAAUUUAUUUGUACAUUUCAAAGUAACUAAAAGAGUGUAAUUGUAUUAUUUGUAGCACAUAGGAUAAAUGCUUGAGGUGACGGAUACCCCAUUUACCCUGAUGUGAUUAUUACACAUCGUAUGCCUGUACCAAAAGAUCUCAUGUACCUCAUAAAUACAUACACCUACUAUAUACCCACACAAAUUAAAAAUUAAAAAAAUUUAAAGAAAUUACAGUUUGUUGGUUUUGAAUAUUUGACCAAAUUUUUUACUAAGCACAGAUAGAUUGAAUAUAAUUUUAUUGUCCUUUUGACAUUAUGAUAAUGAAGGUAUCUACACAGAAGUCUGAGAUGAGAAAAAAAUGAUAUAAUAUCCACCUACUACAUAGUGGGUAGUUUAUAUACUAAAGUUAUUGUUAUGAGAAAGAAUGGCUUAGGAAUAUUAUUUAAAAUUAAUUAAGGGGUGUUAAAAAUAAAAUACCAAGUGUAAAAAUGACAAAGGCAAGAAGAAACAGUAUAUAAUGUGAGUAAAUCUUAAUCUUUCCAAGAGAGGAGACAGUACAUAAUGUCUAAAAUUGUUAAACCAUGAAAUAGAAAUAUAGUUAUUUUAUUCAUAAUUAAGGAGAUAACUACUAUAGCACGAAAUCGUGCCAAAAAUGGUUGCCUCUGGGAAAUGUGAUUAUAGAUAUUAUAAUAUUUUGGACUGUAAAAAUCUGCUUUUAAGACUGAGGAAAUACAAAUAGGACAAUAUUUAUUUGAAAUUUGUAUCCUCAGGGAGUGUAAAGAAAUUAAUGUAUCCACAAAAUAAUAAUAGCUGCUAUUUGAAAACAUAGUUUUCUUGAAAGUUAAAAUAGUAAUAGUCUUCUAAAAAUUUUGUUAGUUUUGGUUUUCUCUUUAAUCUGAGUUAUGUAGAAAAGUGCUUAUUUCAAAUUAGGUAGGCUUGUUUUAUUCCUUUUUCUGUCUUUUUUCUAUCAACUAGUGUUUUAUUGUGUUCAGAAAAUGCCAUGCAUUAAAAGACUACUUUUGAGAAUUUCUAGAGAUUUUCUUUGUUACUAAAGAGAUUUUUGUAAUUGUUACAUGGGAUUUUAAAAAGAAUGUAAAUUAUCCUUUUUGUCAAGUAUAAUGAUUUCUGAAACCUAGCUGUGUCAGAAUACUGUAUAAUACUGUAAUAGUAUGUUGUUUUUGGCUAUGUGUACUUAUUUCUUAGAGUGGUAUGUUAAAGCCUCGACCUUGUGACUUUGUUUAUUUCUCUCUCUACAUCUAAACAUUUCCAAGACAUGUUAUUUGCAAUACCAAGACCAUAACUAUUAUGUAUUUAAUCAAAAUAAAAUAUUUCGGCUCUCUAUAAUUCACCUUGAACUUUAUUUUGUUAAAUAUAAAUGUUGUUGAUUAUACAACAUUUCAUUAUCAAUCCCUAGACACAUUUCUAAUCCACUAUAAUUGUUUUAAAAUAAAAGGAGAAGGGAAGGUUGUA
RNAcentral lists this long non-coding RNA (2238 nucleotides) under Homo sapiens (human). RNAcentral describes it as "HSALNT0074965". The record is from RNAcentral. Lineage: Eukaryota; Metazoa; Chordata; Mammalia; Primates; Hominidae.